GGAGAAAGUUUUCCAACUGUGGAAUUGAGUUUGUUGAGAAUGACACUGCUGGAAAUAAAGAAUUUUUGUAUUUGAUGUGGAUGUUGGUGUUUGAUGGAGAUACUGAGGAGAAUGUUGGGGUUAGAUGGAGCUGCUGAGGAGAAUGUUGGGCUUUGAUGGAGAUGCUGAGGAGAAUGUUGGUGUUUGAUGGAGAUGCUGAGCAGAAUGUUGGGGUUUGAUGGAGAUACUGAGGAAAAUGUUCGUGUUUGAUGGAGAUACUGAGGAAAAUGUUGGUGUUUGAUGGAGAUGCUGAGGAGAAUGUUGGAGUUUGAUUGAGAUGCUGAGGAGAAUGUUGGGGUUAGAUGGAGCUGCUGAGGAGAAUGUUGGUGUUUGAUGGAGCUGCUGAGGAGAAUGUUGGUGUUUGAUGGAGCUGCUGAGGAGAAUGUUGGGGUUUGAUGUAGAUGCUGAGGAGAAUGUUGGGGUUUGAUGGAGAUAAUGAGGAAAAUGUUGGUGUUUGAUGGAGAUGCUGAGGAGAAUGUUGGGGUUUGAUGGAGAUACUGAGAAGAAUGUUGGGGUUAGAUGGAGAUGCUGAGGAGAAUGUUGGGGUUAGAUGGAGAUACUGAGGAGAAUGUUGGGGUUAGAUGGAGAUGCUGAGGAGAAUGUUGGUGUUUGAUGGAGAUGCUGAGGAGAAUGUUGGGGUUUGACGGAGCUGCUGAGGAGAAUGUUGGGUUUAGAUGGAGAUGUUGAGGAGAAUGUUGGUGUUAGAUGGAGAUGUUGAGGAGAAUGUUGGGGUUAGAUGCAGAUGCUGAGGAGAAUGUUGGGGUUUGAUGGAGAUGCUGAGGAGAAUGUUGGUGUUUGAUGGAGCUGCUGAGGAGAAUGUUGGGGUUAGAUGCAGAUGCUGAGCAGAAUGUUGGUGUUUGAUGGAGAUGCUGAGGAGGAUGUUGGUGUUUGAUGGAGCUGCUGAGGAGAAUGUAGGGGUUUGAUGGAGCUGCUGAGGAGAAUGCUGGGGUUUGAUGGAGAUGCUGAGGCGAAUGUUGGGUUUUGAUGGUAAAUGUUAGCAUUUCAUAGAGAAUGUUGGUGUUUGAUUGGGUCAACAUUGAUGUUGGUGUGUUAGUUUAGCAUUGGUGGUGUUGUAUGUCAGUUUAUGUGUGUCAGUGUUUGAUGGACAAUUAUGAAUGUUGGCGAUGGAGAGUAUUGCUGUUGGUGUGUGUUGGUGUUUAAUGGAGAAUUCUGAAUGUCAGGGUUUGAUGGAGGAUAUUAGUGUUUGAUGAAGAGAGCUGGUGUAUAUUGGUGUUUGAAGGAGAAUGCUGAAUGUCAGGGUUUGAUGGAGAAUCUUGGUGUUUCAUGAAGAGAACUGGUGUGUGUUAGCGUUUGAUGGAGAAUUAUGAAUGUCAGGGUUUGAUGGAGAAUGUUGGUGUUUGAUGAAGAGCAUUGGUGUGUGUUGGUGCUUGAUGGAGAAUGUUAAAUGUUCAGGUUUGGUGGUGAACGUUUAUGUUUGAUGAACGUUGGUAUCUGAAUGUGUAUGUGGGCUCCGAUGGAAGAUGUUGGUGUGUGGGUGUUUAAUGGAGAAUGUUUUGGAAUGUAUCUGAUAGAAAAUGCUGAGUGUGUUGUUGAUUUUGGUGUGUUUUACAUGAUCUUGGUGUUUGAUGGUGAAUUCUAGCUUUUGUUCAGGAAUGUUGGUGUUUGUCUGUUCUUG
Molecule: long non-coding RNA, 1675 nt
Organism: Ictalurus punctatus (channel catfish)
Lineage: Eukaryota; Metazoa; Chordata; Actinopteri; Siluriformes; Ictaluridae
Source: Ensembl